Molecule: non-coding RNA, 666 nt
Organism: Dermatophagoides farinae (American house dust mite)
Lineage: Eukaryota; Metazoa; Arthropoda; Arachnida; Sarcoptiformes; Pyroglyphidae
Source: RefSeq, a predicted model, not a curated record
CAAAAAAACAAAAAUAACGUCUUUUUUCUAAUUCUAUUUUCAAAGUUUAUAUAAAAUUCAAAAUAUAUUUCAUGAAAUGCAAUAAAAAGUGAGGGUUAUUUUUUCUAACAAAAAACAACACAUAACGCUCACCAAUCCAGAACGAAGAAAAUUAAUGAUUGUGAUAACAUACAUAUAGUAAACGACAAAGUCACCUAAAUUCAUAUAUGAAAAUAAAAAGUAUACCAUGACGAUGAUGAUGAAUAUUGGCAUCCAAGUUGCGAACCAAAUAAUUAUAAUAAUAAUAAUAAUAAAGACAAAAAAUGAGAAGAGAAAACUGAAUUCGAGCCAAGAAUCUUUGCACAGUAUAACUGUAUACAGCUUUGAAAAUGAACUAAUUCGAACUGAAUACAACGAAAGCAAUGUUACAACGCCAGAAAUAUACGAUUCUUAUGAUUACCACCAUCUUGUGAUCUUUACGAAUUUUCAAACAUUACCGGUACACUUUGUGUGUUUGUCGAUGACGACAAUCAUAAUAGGAAUUUUGUUCAAUUUUCCUUGAUAACAGCUUUACAUUCAUUGAGUAAUAAUUUUUUUUAUUCAAUGUUUUGAUUGCUACUUUUCAUUUCAUGGCGACAUCAAUUCAAAGUCAAUUAUAGAAUGAGAAAAAACCUACUUUGUUCAAUG